UACGGGGGGGGCAAGCGUUGUUCGGAAUUACUGGGCGUAAAGGGUGCGUAGGUGGCGAGGUAAGUUCGAUGUGAAAUCUCCGAGCUCAACUCGGAAAUGGCAUUGAAUACUAUCCCGCUUGAGGGUCGGAGGGGAGACUGGAAUUCUCGGUGUAGCAGUGAAAUGCGUAGAUAUCAGGAGGAACACCGAUGGCGAAGGCAGGUCUCUGGGCAUUAACUGACGCUGAGGAGCGAAAGCAUGGGGAGCGAACAGG
Molecule: ribosomal RNA, 253 nt
Filed under: uncultured bacterium
Lineage: Bacteria
Description: partial 16S ribosomal RNA
Rfam family: Bacterial small subunit ribosomal RNA
Source: RNAcentral